Molecule: long non-coding RNA, 428 nt
Organism: Sander lucioperca (pikeperch)
Lineage: Eukaryota; Metazoa; Chordata; Actinopteri; Perciformes; Percidae
Exons: 3
Source: RefSeq, a predicted model, not a curated record
UCAGUGUUUUUGUGCAUGAUGCAAACACAAUGACUCAGUCUGUACCCCAAAGAUAUUCCUAGAUAAAUUGCAGAAAUCACUCAACCGGAGAAUAUUGCCUCGUCCACAUGGUGGUUGAAUAGCACAUCCACAUAAUUUGCCUCCAGAGUUGCACCUUCUGGUCAUUGUUUGUCCAUUUUGUAGCCCUUUGGAACUCAGGAAGUAGUGGUAAACAAACUGUCUGAAGAUCCCUGAUCAGGUCAUGCUCUCUUAAUGUUCAGUAUGCGGGCAAAUAAAGGGAUCCAGCUCUCAAAUGAUAUGAAAAAGGAGAGGACUUUCCAACAUUUGUCACAGUUAUAAACUCUUAUGUACUGCACAUACCCUGAAUGCCUUACACAGAUUGAAUAGUUUCAGAUCACUUGCAAGACCUAUUUAAAGGAGUCCUGAAA